UUUGGGGUGGGGCUGCAGAUGAACGUCCCGCGAUUCCCAGGAAGGCUUCUCUGGGAGCAGCUCAGAGGAGCCUUCUCACCGGCUGUAAUACCCGUCGAUCUGAGCCAGAUAGCCACUGAAGAAAACACCAUGAAAGAUACUGACAUCAGGAGACUAUUGUAUGCCCAUCUCCUGUGCAUAUUUUCAGUUAUCCUAAGCACCUUCAUUCCAUCACUCUUCUUGGAGGACUUCUCAGUAUUGGAAACCCACUUGACAUGGCUGUGCAUCUGUUCUGUUUCUGUAACUGCCGUCAAUCUAGUAUUCUAUUUGGUAGUGAAGCCAAAUCCACCCUCUAGAAGAAGCUCAUUAUCACACAAGGUAGGCAGAUUUUUGAAGUGCUGCAUCUACUUUCUUAUGUCCUGUUUCUGCUUUCAUGUAAUAUUUGUUCUAUAUGGAGCGCCGCUAAUAGAGUUGGCACUGGAAACAUUUUUAUUUGCAGUUAUUUUGUCUACUUUUACUACUGUGCCUUGUCUGUGCUUGUUAGGACCAAACAUCAAAGCAUGGCUGAGAGUUUUCAGUAGAAAUGGAGUUACGUCUAUUUGGGAGAACAGCCUCCAGAUCACUACAAUUUCUAGUUUCGUGGGAUCGUGGCUCGGAGCGUUUCCUAUUCCACUGGACUGGGAAAGACCAUGGCAGAAAACCUACAAAAAACCCUAAUUCUGGACUUGACUGCCACUAUCUCCUGGAGCCGUGGUGACUCAGUGGUUAAGGACUUGGCUGCUAACCAAAAGAAGCACAGCCAGAAUGCUCAUUAGAAGCAAGGACAUAUUAUCAGGAGGUGCCAGUCCCUGGAAAAGGACAUCAUGCGUGGGAAAAUAGAGGGUCAGCAAAAUCAGCGAAACAGAGGAAGACCCUCAACGCGAUGGAUUGACACAGUGGCUGCGACAACAGGUUCAGACACAGCACCGAUUGUGAGGAUGGCGCAGCACCGGGCAGUGUUUCACUCUGUUGUACAUAAGGUUGCUGUGAGUCGGAAUCGACCGGGUGGCACCUAACAACAACAGUGACACCAUUUUAGAUAGACCAGUAUACAAAAUACUAAUUUGUAUGAAUAUGAUUUAUGGGUUUCAAGCCUGGCCCAAAAAAGAAAGAAAAAAGUGUUAACUACAGAGAAGACGGUUUUGGAUUUGAAAGGCAGGUUCCUUGGGGGGCGAUCAUGUUGCUGGUGUGCCGCUAGCAGACCUUUCAGGUGAGGGCGAAUAGCGCUGGCAGCUUAACCCAUUUACCUGAAUCGUCGUCAGGACCCUGCAGUGUCACUUUGACUGCAAGUCCCAGACCGGAGACUGAGCGCCUCUCCGUGGGUAACUCAGGAUUCCUCAGUCUGUGCUGCUAGUCAUAGGACAGUGGGUCAGAGUAUAGUUGGACCAAUGUAGAGUUACAGCUAGAAAAAUUUAUCCAGACCAAUAGAUGCAACUGCCCAUGUGUUCCUAUAUCAGAAAAUAACAAGCAUGUUAAAAAGUAGCUUGUGAGAAGUUGAGAACUAACUCCCUAGGUUUUAUCUCCUUUAUCUGGAGAGAGCCAGUAAUCCUAAUGGUUGUGAGUUGUUUUAAGUGUUUCUGGGUAUUCUGAUCUGUAGAGACAUCAUUUUCCCUGUGAUCUCUAUGAUGGCAUAUAUGUCCUUGCAAAUUACAAGUAAUUUUCUAUAUUUUAUAGGACACAUAUUUUUAAGAAUUUAUGAUACUAAAAUUUGUCCAAAAUCAGUUCAUCUUAUUUUGCAGCUUAACUGCUUGGUAUAGAGCAGUGCUAGUACAGUUUUUUGAAUAAACGAAUGAAUGGAAUAAUUCAUUUCAGACUUUUUAAAUUACAUAAAUGUCUACCACUGGCUAGUUUAACACCAGUAUCUACACUUAAUUUGCUUUGUUAAAUUUUAUGAGAAAUGACGGCUAGAAUCAGGCAAUUUCUCUUCUACUUCUGAAGUGAGACUACAGAUGGGUAACAUAAUGCCAGUAUGUUGUGUAACCGCUGGGCUUUUUCUUUUCUAAACAUUACAGUCCCGCGACGUUUUAUGUGAGGAACAGUGUGUAUUCAAGAUGACUACACUGUGAGUAAGAGCACAGGAUAACAUUGCUCACAGGCUGUUUUAUUUGUUCCCCACUGCUGCUUCUAAUUGGUACCUAGCAGUGUCACUUACUUAAGAAAUACUUAGUGUUAUAUAUAGAAGCUUAAUUUUUUUAAGUUAAAAUAUGUAAUGUAUAAAAUAGUACUGGUAUGUGGUACUUUACAGCUUUCGUGGCAAAUUUCAAAAUAUUACUUCAUCUGAUACAUCAACCCUAUGUUCUUUUGAGUACAAUAGGUACCAUUGGCCCUGCUUUACAGAUUAAGAAACUGAGGCUCAGAUGUUAAGUGACCUGGCCAGGGUCAGAUGGCCAUGGGUUGAACUGGCCCAGCAACUCAGAUCAUUCUAACUCCACUGUCCCAUGCUGCUUCCAAGGAAAGCUAAGUAAAGCUCACAAAAAAACAUGGAGCAUUUUAGAAAGUAGCUUAAUAUUUUUGUAUAAUUACUUUUAAACUUUUUGAACUGAUUUCAAAAAAUUAUUAUCCUUAUCUAAUUCCAAAUAAACGAUCAUGGUUAUAGGAAACCUCCAGUAUCUAGUGAACUGCCACAGCCAGUACUGAUAUGCCAAAGUAGCUACUAUGUGAAGUAUCAAAAACUUGUGGAGAUAAUUUUGAUGACGCUACCAAAAAAAAAAAUAAAACCCAAACCUGUUGCCGUCGAGUCGAUUCCAACUCAUAGUGACCCUUUAGGACAGAGUAGAACUGCCCCAUACAGUUUCCAAGGAGCGGCAGGUGGAUUCGAACUGCCGACCUUUUGGUUAGCAGCCGUAGCAGUUAACCACUGUGCCACCAGGGUUUCCAUCUAUUUGCAUUUAAUGUAUAUUAAAGGAACCUAAAGAAUAGUAUGCAUAUUAUGAUCAAGUAAAAUAUAUUUAAAUUAUAUUUCUCUCAACUCACAUAACAACAAAUAGCAUCUACAUCGUUGAAAAUGAUCCUUAAAAUUCUGAAACCCAAGACAUCAAAGUCAAUUGGCAUAAUAAAAUCUAUUAAGAAAACAUUCUGCAUCCCACUUUGGAGAGUGGCGUCUGGAGUCUUAAACGCUAGCAAGCAGCCAUCUAAGAUGCGUCAAUUGGUCUCAACCCACUUGGAGCAAAGGAGAAUGAAGAACACCAAAGACACAAGGUAUGGCCCAUCUCCUGCACGCUCGGAGCGACCUUUGGCUAUGUGGCUGGCCUUGCUGUCUCACCACUCUGGAUAUACUGGAAUAGAAAGCAACUUACAUACAAGAA
RNA transcript from Loxodonta africana (African savanna elephant), 3323 nucleotides. It is a transcript of the gene named phosphatidylinositol glycan anchor biosynthesis class F, with no coding region annotated. NCBI's taxonomy places the organism in Eukaryota, Metazoa, Chordata, Mammalia, Proboscidea, Elephantidae. The record is from RefSeq and is a predicted model, not a curated record. The transcript has 8 exons.